UUCCUACGGGGGGCAGCAGUGAGGAAUAUUGGUCAAUGGGAGAGAUCCUGAACCAGCCAAGCCGCGUGAGGGAAGACGGCCCUAUGGGUUGUAAACCUCUUUUGUCGGGGAGCAAGACCCGCCACGAGUGGCGGAGCGAGAGUACCCGAAGAAAAAGCAUCGGCUAACUCCGUGCCAGCAGCCGCGGUAAUACGGAGGAUGCGAGCGUUAUCCGGAUUUAUUGGGUUUAAAGGGUGCGCAGGCGGACCAUCAAGUCAGCGGUAAAAUCGUGGGGCCCAACCCCAUCCCGCCGUUGAAACUGGCGG
RNAcentral lists this ribosomal RNA (305 nucleotides) under uncultured bacterium. Its description in RNAcentral is "bacterial SSU rRNA". It matches the Rfam family "Bacterial small subunit ribosomal RNA", at positions 336 to 639 of the family's 1533-position model. The record is from RNAcentral.